AGAAUCAACGCUGGCGGCGUGCCUAACACAUGCAAGUCGAACGAGAAAGUGGAGCAAUCCAUGAGUAAAGUGGCGCACGGGUGAGUAACACGUGACUAACCUACCCUUGAGUGGGGAAUAACUGAGGGAAACCUUAGCUAAUACCGCAUAAUACCUACGGGUCAAAGGAGCAAUUCGCUUAAGGAGGGGGUCGCGGCAGAUUAGCUAGUUGGCGGGGUAAUGGCCCACCAAGGCAGUGAUCUGUA
RNAcentral lists this ribosomal RNA (245 nucleotides) under uncultured bacterium. RNAcentral's name for it is "partial small subunit ribosomal RNA". It matches the Rfam family "Bacterial small subunit ribosomal RNA", at positions 26 to 285 of the family's 1533-position model. The record is from RNAcentral.